GGGUUGUGAGGUUAAGCGACUAAGCGUACACGGUGGAUGCCCUGGCAGUCAGAGGCGAUGAAGGACGUGCUAAUCUGCGAUAAGCGUCGGUGAGGUGAUAUGAACCGUUAUAACCGGCGAUUUCCGAAUGGGGAAACCCAGUGUGUUUCGACACACUAUCAUUAACUGAAUCCAUAGGUUAAUGAGGCGAACCGGGGGAACUGAAACAUCUAAGUACCCCGAGGAAAAGAAAUCAACCGAGAUUCCCCCAGUAGCGGCGAGCGAACGGGGAGGAGCCCAGAGCCUGAAUCAGUGUGUGUGUUAGUGGAAGCGUCUGGAAAGGCGCGCGAUACAGGGUGACAGCCCCGUACACAAAAAUGCACAUAUUGUGAGCUCGAUGAGUAGGGCGGGACACGUGGUAUCCUGUCUGAAUAUGGGGGGACCAUCCUCCAAGGCUAAAUACUCCUGACUGACCGAUAGUGAACCAGUACCGUGAGGGAAAGGCGAAAAGAACCCCGGCGAGGGGAGUGAAAAAGAACCUGAAACCGUGUACGUACAAGCAGUGGGAGCCUCUUAAUGGGGUGACUGCGUACCUUUUGUAUAAUGGGUCAGCGACUUAUAUUCUGUAGCAAGGUUAACCGAAUAGGGGAGCCGGAGGGAAACCGAGUCUUAACUGGGCGUUAAGUUGCAGGGUAUAGACCCGAAACCCGGUGAUCUAGCCAUGGGCAGGUUGAAGGUUGGGUAACACUAACUGGAGGACCGAACCGACUAAUGUUGAAAAAUUAGCGGAUGACUUGUGGCUGGGGGUGAAAGGCCAAUCAAACCGGGAGAUAGCUGGUUCUCCCCGAAAGCUAUUUAGGUAGCGCCUCGUGAAUUCAUCUCCGGGGGUAGAGCACUGUUUCGGCAAGGGGGUCAUCCCGACUUACCAACCCGAUGCAAACUGCGAAUACCGGAGAAUGUUAUCACGGGAGACACACGGCGGGUGCUAACGUCCGUCGUGAAGAGGGAAACAACCCAGACCGCCAGCUAAGGUCCCAAAGUCAUGGUUAAGUGGGAAACGAUGUGGGAAGGCCCAGACAGCCAGGAUGUUGGCUUAGAAGCAGCCAUCAUUUAAAGAAAGCGUAAUAGCUCACUGGUCGAGUCGGCCUGCGCGGAAGAUGUAACGGGGCUAAACCAUGCACCGAAGCUGCGGCAGCGACGCUUAUGCGUUGUUGGGUAGGGGAGCGUUCUGUAAGCCUGCGAAGGUGUGCUGUGAGGCAUGCUGGAGGUAUCAGAAGUGCGAAUGCUGACAUAAGUAACGAUAAAGCGGGUGAAAAGCCCGCUCGCCGGAAGACCAAGGGUUCCUGUCCAACGUUAAUCGGGGCAGGGUGAGUCGACCCCUAAGGCGAGGCCGAAAGGCGUAGUCGAUGGGAAACAGGUUAAUAUUCCUGUACUUGGUGUUACUGCGAAGGGGGGACGGAGAAGGCUAUGUUGGCCGGGCGACGGUUGUCCCGGUUUAAGCGUGUAGGCUGGUUUUCCAGGCAAAUCCGGAAAAUCAAGGCUGAGGCGUGAUGACGAGGCACUACGGUGCUGAAGCAACAAAUGCCCUGCUUCCAGGAAAAGCCUCUAAGCAUCAGGUAACAUCAAAUCGUACCCCAAACCGACACAGGUGGUCAGGUAGAGAAUACCAAGGCGCUUGAGAGAACUCGGGUGAAGGAACUAGGCAAAAUGGUGCCGUAACUUCGGGAGAAGGCACGCUGAUAUGUAGGUGAAGCGACUUGCUCGUGGAGCUGAAAUCAGUCGAAGAUACCAGCUGGCUGCAACUGUUUAUUAAAAACACAGCACUGUGCAAACACGAAAGUGGACGUAUACGGUGUGACGCCUGCCCGGUGCCGGAAGGUUAAUUGAUGGGGUUAGCGGUAACGCGAAGCUCUUGAUCGAAGCCCCGGUAAACGGCGGCCGUAACUAUAACGGUCCUAAGGUAGCGAAAUUCCUUGUCGGGUAAGUUCCGACCUGCACGAAUGGCGUAAUGAUGGCCAGGCUGUCUCCACCCGAGACUCAGUGAAAUUGAACUCGCUGUGAAGAUGCAGUGUACCCGCGGCAAGACGGAAAGACCCCGUGAACCUUUACUAUAGCUUGACACUGAACAUUGAGCCUUGAUGUGUAGGAUAGGUGGGAGGCUUUGAAGUGUGGACGCCAGUCUGCAUGGAGCCGACCUUGAAAUACCACCCUUUAAUGUUUGAUGUUCUAACGUUGGCCCCUGAUCGGGGUUGCGGACAGUGUCUGGUGGGUAGUUUGACUGGGGCGGUCUCCUCCUAAAGAGUAACGGAGGAGCACGAAGGUUGGCUAAUCCUGGUCGGACAUCAGGAGGUUAGUGCAAUGGCAUAAGCCAGCUUGACUGCGAGCGUGACGGCGCGAGCAGGUGCGAAAGCAGGUCAUAGUGAUCCGGUGGUUCUGAAUGGAAGGGCCAUCGCUCAACGGAUAAAAGGUACUCCGGGGAUAACAGGCUGAUACCGCCCAAGAGUUCAUAUCGACGGCGGUGUUUGGCACCUCGAUGUCGGCUCAUCACAUCCUGGGGCUGAAGUAGGUCCCAAGGGUAUGGCUGUUCGCCAUUUAAAGUGGUACGCGAGCUGGGUUUAGAACGUCGUGAGACAGUUCGGUCCCUAUCUGCCGUGGGCGCUGGAGAACUGAGGGGGGCUGCUCCUAGUACGAGAGGACCGGAGUGGACGCAUCACUGGUGUUCGGGUUGUCAUGCCAAUGGCACUGCCCGGUAGCUAAAUGCGGAAGAGAUAAGUGCUGAAAGCAUCUAAGCACGAAACUUGCCCCGAGAUGAGUUCUCCCUGAGACUUUAAGUCUCCUGAAGGAACGUUGAAGACGACGACGUUGAUAGGCCGGGUGUGUAAGCGCAGCGAUGCGUUGAGCUAACCGGUACUAAUGAACCGUGAGGCUUAACCUUACAACGCCGAAG
RNAcentral lists this ribosomal RNA (2926 nucleotides) under Escherichia coli. Its description in RNAcentral is "bacterial LSU rRNA". It matches the Rfam family "Bacterial large subunit ribosomal RNA". The record is from RNAcentral. Lineage: Bacteria; Pseudomonadati; Pseudomonadota; Gammaproteobacteria; Enterobacterales; Enterobacteriaceae.